This 1015-nucleotide long non-coding RNA is filed under the name Macaca mulatta (Rhesus monkey). Its description in RNAcentral is "lncRNA (ENSMMUG00000039924.2)". The record is from RNAcentral. Lineage: Eukaryota; Metazoa; Chordata; Mammalia; Primates; Cercopithecidae.
AUGGGAUUCCUUGUUCAGGAGCUCUCUCUCCCGUCAGUGCAGCAGCAUUCCGCUUCCUGUUGCUGUCCCAGGGGAGGGGGUGUGUCCUCUGGUUUCUGCUCCUCUUUGGUCUUGCAGAACCCCACAUUUUCCUCUCUUGCUUCUCUUUAUUUCUUCACCCCUCUGCUUCCUAAGGGUGCCUCUUCCUUCUAUUUAUCCUCUUCUUCAGAGGCAAAGCAGCUCUGGGCAUGCCAUGUAGGUCCUGGAGAUGCAUGUGUCCUUUCCCUGGAGCCGCCAGCCCCUGGGAGGCUUCUCUGCAGUUUUUCUCCAUGUCCCUCCUGUCCACGUCCCUGGACUUUCCUCACUGUCCACCACUGUGUUCACUGGGAUCAAAGCAGGCCUGUCAGAGGCGUGAGGAUGCAGCCUGACUCCAUCCCUGUGGGAGGAUUGACACACAGUCCCUGCAGGGAGGCCAAACAUUCAUGCGCAAUGGUUGCAGGACAAGGUGUGAUGGGUAAGCAGCCUUUGUCCUCCACAAUCUGGAGUCGUCUAGAGUUUCCGCUGAAGUUGUCACUGGCCAAGGAGAUAUCGUGGCUCCUGACAGAGGGAAACUCAAGUGUCUGAAUCACACUGUCUGUAUCACCAUUCAGAUCUGUCAGAUCCCCGAAAGACCAUCUGUCUAAACACACGUAUAUGCUAUGCUGAUUGCAAAGCACUUUCAGAUAGAUACGUAGAUAGAUAAUGGAUAGUCAUAUAGAUAGAUGGUAGACAAACAGAUGAGAGAUCAUAGAAUUAGAGGGAUAAGACAAUCAGAUGAUAGACAGAUAAUAGAUACAUGAUACAUAGAUAGAUGACAGACAGAUGAUAGAGGAUAGAUAGAUGAUAGGUGAUAGAUGAUACAUAGAUGAUAGAUGAUAGAUGAUAUCUAGAUGAUAGAUAGAUGAUAGACAAUAGAUAAUAAAUGAUAGAUAUUAGAUGAUAGAUAAUGAUAGAUGAUAGGUAGGUAGAUAGCUAUAGGUGACAGGUUAUAGAUAAU